AGGCAGAUACCUUCUCUACUCCUAUUCCCAGUUAGUUACAGGUGGAGGGGGAAGGGAGUGGAUUGAACAAGAAAUAUUUGCAAUUAAUUAUUGGUAAACAUUUAUGUAAUGCUUAUUCUGUUCAGUGUGUUGACUUUUAGUGCAAGGUAGAACACUGAAAAAGGCAUUUUAAAGUGCUUAUUAUGCGCUAAGCACUGAGGUUACUAAUAGGAAAAAAAAAAAGCAAUAUAGCCCCUACUCUUGAGGAUCUCAGGUCUAAUUGAGGGAUGCAACACAUAAAGCAAUUUCACCUGGUAGAAGUGUCCACUAAAAAUGGUUUGGUGGAUGGUAAGAACUUGAGUGCCUCAGUAGGUAAACACAUAUAGGCAGUAUCUAGGGGUCUGGAGAUUUUAGGUAUGAGCCCGAUGAUAAGACCCAGAGGAACUUCUAAAGACAGGGCUAAGGUCUAGUCAUUCUAUAUCUCACUGAGAUUAGAAUUGGUGACUCCCAUUUCUUCUAAAUAGGACUUACUAUCACUGAUUUUAACUGCCCACUCAAGAGCUAUCCAAGGUUAAGCCAUAGUUGUUAUCAUCAAAUGGCCAUUCCCUGGGUAAGGAAACACAAAGAAGCAAAGUGAUUUGUUAAAAGGAUUAGACAUCUAUAAAUAUAGACAAUAUUCAUGCAAAGCCUGGACUGAGACAGAUACCAAUUGAUGAUCAAACACAUUUAGAUGUUGAAACAAAAUCCUGGGUACUGUAAAAAGCCAGAAACCAAAGGAAUGGUGCUGGAAAUUGUCCAGAGAAAAACAACCAGGAUGAUCUAAGGAUUUCACUAAAACAAGACCAAAAUAGAAGAAAGAUUCCUUAUCUACAGAAAAAGAAGAGACAUCACUUAGAGAGUGUAAUGUCUGAAGGGGAGAAAGAACAAACAAGGACACAAAUGAAGGUGAGAAUGUUAUCAAUAUACAACAUGACAAGAUGAAAACACCGAAGAGA
This 974-nucleotide long non-coding RNA is filed under the name Monodelphis domestica (gray short-tailed opossum). RNAcentral describes it as "lncRNA (ENSMODG00000049830.1)". The record is from RNAcentral. Lineage: Eukaryota; Metazoa; Chordata; Mammalia; Didelphimorphia; Didelphidae.